This 52-nucleotide ribosomal RNA is filed under the name Gambierdiscus carpenteri. RNAcentral describes it as "partial large subunit ribosomal RNA". Lineage: Eukaryota; Dinophyceae; Gonyaulacales; Pyrocystaceae. The record is from RNAcentral.
UCCUGUGUGAAUGCAAGUGUGAACACCYGCUGAAUUUAAGCAUAUAAGUAGG